UACGUAGGGUGCAAGCGUUUAAUCGGAAUUACUGGGCGUAAAGCGUGCGCAGGCGGUUAUGUAAGACAGGUGUGAAAUCCCCGGGCUUAACCUGGGAACUGCAUUUGUGACUGCAUAGCUAGAGUACGGUAGAGGGGGAUGGAAUUCCGGCGUGUAGCAGUGAAAUGCGUAGAUAUGCGGAGGAACACCGAUGGCGAAGGCAAUCCCCUGGACCUGGUACUGACGCUCAUGCACGAAAGCGUGGGGAGCAAACAGG
This 256-nucleotide ribosomal RNA is filed under the name uncultured bacterium. Its description in RNAcentral is "partial 16S ribosomal RNA". It matches the Rfam family "Bacterial small subunit ribosomal RNA", at positions 524 to 776 of the family's 1533-position model. The record is from RNAcentral.